Neodiprion fabricii is the source of this 1110-nucleotide RNA transcript. RefSeq lists it as uncharacterized. Lineage: Eukaryota; Metazoa; Arthropoda; Insecta; Hymenoptera; Diprionidae. The transcript is spliced from 4 exons. The record is from RefSeq and is a predicted model, not a curated record.
AUCGGACUCUCGCGAGAGUCUCUCGAUCGAUGUAAACACGUUUUUCAGUUUGUAUACCUCUGUUUACCUCCGCCAAUAGCAAGUCAUAGAUUAAUAUCUAUGAUUCAAACGAGAUACCUCAGCAGGAUUUCUGCCGCGCAGAUAACCUCUUGCUAACAGAUAAUAAUGGCAAACGCACUCGGUCAGUCGUGCCAGUUUCACCCAAUGAUUGUCAAACUACAAAUACACAUACCUCGAAAAGUCAAAAGCAACCGACCAGAUGCAGUUCUUCGAACGAAUGGAAAAAUUUCACCGGGUCUAGAAGACGACUAAGAAGUUGUCAACGAAAGAAAUCUGAAUCGGAAGAAAACAGCAGCGCCUCAUCCAACUCUGAUUCCGACACACGUCCACCUUUUCGGCAUGCAAGUAGAAGUGUGUUAUCUAGACUUGUCCAGUAUACCUUUUACUCUGUGAUAAAUACAGGUGUGGUGAUGGACCAAGGUGUGACGGCUGCUGCGCUUUGCAGAUCAUUUCUCGCUCUCUAUCUAAAGCUAGACGAAAGCAACGUUCAUUCGAGUCUGGUUGAUUCAUGGGAUAGAGCAGGGUAAGGUUCUGAUAAUAAUUAACCUGUUUGUAUGCUAACGAGUAAACAGUUUCAAGUUUUGUAACAACAUACAACAACAGAACAAUUUGGUAUUGCCAACAGAAGAUAACAGUGUUGAAAGGGUAUAAUCACAAACACCUCGUAUACCUGGCAAAGAAAGUACGUCAUGCAGCUGUUGAAUCAAACACUUUAUACAGAACAACUGGUCAGGCCAGAGUAAUGCUGGUACUAACAGCGUUUGGCCGAGAGGAAGAUAUGGAAGAAGCAUUUGACGAUCUGUGUUACUUACAUUGACGUCCAUGUAAACAACUUGAUUUGUCGGCAUAGAUGUAGCAGGCAACUUCACUGCCACAACGUGACAUAUCUCUUUGACCGUGUGUGGCUUAUACUGUGUGUCAAGUCAUUAGAAGCUAUGUUACUUAUUUAAAGAGCCUCAAAGUCGUUUUGGACAGAAAUUCAAGUCUAACAAAUAUUUUGAAUAAAUAAUAACGAAUCAAUACAGGGUUGCACAUAUCACGGUUUAUAAA